UUGGAUCAUUAUGUUCAAUGGGUUUUAGAAAUAACCGGCAUAAUGAUUUGAUAUAAAAGCUUUUUGAAACCAAACAAGGCAAUCAUUAUGCAGAUGAAAAGUUUGAUUUUAUUUUUCAGGUUUUUUUGUGAUCACUGAUUUCAUGCAAAAGCAAAAAGUGAAAACAAAUGGAAAAACAAAUGUUUAAUAAUGCAUUAAUUGAAUGAAAUAUCAUUGUAUAUAUGAUGCCGAC
This 232-nucleotide long non-coding RNA is filed under the name Lathyrus oleraceus (garden pea). RNAcentral describes it as "Pisum sativum (pea) long non-coding RNA (PSAT_LNC025162)". The record is from RNAcentral. Lineage: Eukaryota; Viridiplantae; Streptophyta; Magnoliopsida; Fabales; Fabaceae.